This 497-nucleotide ribosomal RNA is filed under the name uncultured bacterium. RNAcentral's name for it is "partial 16S ribosomal RNA". It matches the Rfam family "Bacterial small subunit ribosomal RNA", at positions 28 to 507 of the family's 1533-position model. The record is from RNAcentral.
GAUGAACGCUGGCGGCGUGCCUAAUACAUGCAAGUCGAGCGAACGGACGAGAAGCUUGCUUUUCUGAUGUUAGCGGCGGACGGGUGAGUAACACGUGGAUAACCUACCUAUAAGACUGGGAUAACUUCGGGAAACCGGAGCUAAUACCGGAUAAUAUUUUGAACCGCAUGGUUCGAAAGUGAAAGACGGUCUUGCUGCCACUUAUAGAUGGAUCCGCGCUGCAUUAGCUAGUUGGUAAGGUAACGGCUUACCAAGGCAACGAUGCAUAGCCGACCUGAGAGGGUGAUCGGCCACACUGGAACUGAGACACGGUCCAGACUCCUACGGGAGGCAGCAGUAGGGAAUCUUCCGCAAUGGGCGAAAGCCUGACGGAGCAACGCCGCGUGAGUGAUGAAGGUCUUCGGAUCGUAAAACUCUGUUAUUAGGGAAGAACAUAUGUGUAAGUAACUGUGCACAUCUUGACGGUACCUAAUCAGAAAGCCACGGCUAACUACGUG